Molecule: RNA transcript, 4362 nt
Organism: Ziziphus jujuba (common jujube)
Lineage: Eukaryota; Viridiplantae; Streptophyta; Magnoliopsida; Rosales; Rhamnaceae
Gene name: aminopeptidase P1-like
Exons: 3
Source: RefSeq, a predicted model, not a curated record
UAUUUUUUAAUAUAUCCAAAUUAUCCUUUUGAAAAGUGCCAUAGACGGAGCAUGAAGAAAAGCGGAAGAGAAAGUGAGAGAAAAUGGCAAAGCAGCUACUGGAGAGUGCUUAAGGAGGAGGGACGAGUGGAGGAAGCACCCUAGGCUCACCAAUCAGCUCCGCCAUGCCCUUCCUGGUUUUGGCCUCAGAGUCGCUGCCUUAGGCGUCUACCUAGACGGUGAGCAGAAUUCGAAGCGGUUAUUAAAAUUUUCCUUUUUCCACAUUUUCUCAGCAACCAAACGUACCAUCUAAAGAUUGAAUUCAUCAAAACCAUCAUCGAUUUUUGGUGCAAACUUUGAAUUCGAAUCUUCGAGACCGAAAAUGAUGCUGAAUCUUGGAAAAUCUCUCAUUGAGCAAUGAGUUACAGAAGGUAAUCUUUAUAUUUGGUAAGAUUUGCAUUUCAAGCAGUUUUUUUAGUUUAUAUAUUUUUCGUGAUCACAGUUCAAUAGUCAAUCAGUCAUCGCCUUUCAUGUUUAAUGCUGUAUAUAUAUAUAUAUAUAUAUAUAGAAAUAUAUAUUCUGAAUUUGCUGAAACUAUUGCAGUUGUAUCUUAUUGGUUUUCUUUGCAUUUGAAUUUAUGGUUUGCUUCAGUGAAUUUCGAUGAAAAUAAUCUUUUAUGUUACACAAUGUACGAGCUUGAACUUUACAAUUUGGCCAAUACUUAAAUCUUGGUUAAUUAAUAACCCAUAAGCAGGUAAAAAAUGCAUCUAUGAAUUGCUUUGUCGGAUAGUCUAUUCUAUGAAUUUACAUGACAUCCAUCAGUAAUUUUUAAAAAUUGAGACUAAUCUGGGCUUAAGAAUUAUUAAACAUUAUGUUUAAUUUCUGGUUUUGGAAGAUAAUUGUUUUCACUAGAUGUUAGGGAUAAGAAGCACCCAGUUAUCUUAGACUUCUUAGUGAGAUAAGGACCACUAAGGAUAUGGUUUCUAUGAGCAUUGUCACACAAAGGAAGGUCAUCCCAAUUAUAUGAUAUCGUCUUUCGUCAGCUUCUCACAUUUCCCUUAUCCCUUUUGUUUCUUCCUCCAAAACAUGGUAUUCUUCAUUCAAGAAAAAGGAUUAAACAAUGCCCUUGUUUGUUACCAUGAAAUGUUAAUAUUAAAUUUAUGAUAAAUUUUGCUAUAUAUAAUUAUAUAAUCUGGCUUUUGGUUGUAGUUUUUCCUGUUAUUUUAAAUCCCUUUUCACUGGUUCACCCAAUUCCACUCUUUGUUAGUCUUAAAAGGCAAUGUACCCGGGUGGUUAUACUACAGAAGUUACAAGCUUAUCUCCAAAAGCAACAAAAAAGGAUAUUUAUGAUUUUUUUCACUUAUUGUGGUGUAACUGAGGAUGUUGAAAUCAUCAGGUAGAGUCCUUCUGCACAACUUCUGAUUACUAAUUAUGAUUCCUUUUCCUCGAGUGAAAUCUGCAAAAUGAUGGUUUGGUCAUUGAUUAUAUAUGAAUUUAUUGUUCAUAAACUCAUCAAAUUGUUUGGAUGUUAUUUGGUUUGAAAGUGGUCAAAAUAUAAGAAUCUUUUCUGGAAUUUAUAUUACAAUUAUUUAAUUUCCUUUUUUUCUUUUGUCAUUUUAAAUAUCCAUAUGUCAAUUAGUCCAUUUGAGUGUCUUGUAAAAGCUAAUUUAUUCCAUAAGACCCCUGCUUUAAUGGAUUUCUAAAGGUAUAUGUGGAGAAUAUAAAAUAUUUUUCUAUAUGUGGAGAAUAUAAGAUAUUUUUCUUUCCAUCAUUUGGUCAAGAGGCUAAAGCUAAUAUUACUGAGAAGUUCAUAUUUUAAAAUGAGAUUGAAAUGUAAACAUAAUAGAAAUUUUAACUUUUUCAUGAAAGCAUGUUAGGAAUUGUCUUCUCUUUCUUUAUCCUUUUUUUUUUCAAUAAAAUUCAAACUCCAAGCAUGGCAAUAAGUUGGGAAAUUGUUUCAUUAUUCAAUAUUAAUGUGAUGGUUAAUUAUCCUCCUAACGAACAAUAACUUCCUCAAGACAGUUUAUUUCCACAUGUAAUUAUCAAUGUCAGACUAAGAAGACAAGAUCAAAAUUUGAAUCUUAUCUGUAUAAAAGCUGAAACUUCAUGGAGAAAUUUCCAAAUUAUCAUUGCUUUCCUUUGCCACCUUUGUCCCAAAAAAAAAAAAAAAAAAAAAAAAGAAGCACACUUGAAUGCCUUCUGUUAUAUAGAUUCUACAAUUUUAUGUCCUCAUAAAUUACGUGCUGUAGAAACGAUUCCAGAUUAUGAUCCAUGUAGGGAGGUAACUAUACAUCCAGUGCCAUAUUUCCUUUCAAAUUCUUAUUAACACAAAAGGGUCCUCUCUGUCCCAAUAUAAUUUUAGAAGACCUUUUAUUUGUUUGUUUCUCUUUACAGGUUAGAUUCAAUUGAGUGGUUAUUUUUAGCCUUUUCUAACUUGCUACUCUGCACAUGUGCAUAAAUUGUAUGUUGGUAUAAUUGAGUUAUUGGUUUGCUGGAAAUAAGUGUGGUGAGUAUGCCUAUACUGCAUAUGUGACAUUCAAAGAUGCUUAUGCUCUGGAAACCGCUGUCUUGCUUAGUAUAUCUUGUUGUUUACACUCGUCUAAAAUGAGUACUCAUCUACAUGAACCAAGAAAAUAAAAUUGUGAGGGUAUAACUGAACAGUCAGUCCCCUUGCCUUUCCUCUCAUUCAUUUUUGUACAAUGGAGUAGAAAAUAAACAAAGAAUUUUUGGUUUUUUAGUUCUAGUCUAUUUUCCACUUUUUCUUCUUCUUUUUUUUUUUUUUUUUCAUGUUCUUUUAUACCAGUGCUUGCAAAUGAAAUCCAUUUAUUGAUGACUGAUGAUUUACGGAUUUCUCAUAGUAAUCCCACUUCAAAGGUUUCGAGCCUAUAGUAUAACAAAGUUUAGUUUUCAUUAGGUGUCAAUAUUCCCCUUGAAUUGAAUUGUUGAACUGUUAAGUAUUUUUAACAUCAACUUUUUAAUUUGACGAGACUGCUAUUGAUUGGAGAUAUGGUGGAUCAAUUGAUUAGCUUUCUCUUUCCUUAAUUCCUUGUAAUGAUAUGCUGGGGUGCAACCAUUGUAGAUCAGUGAGUAUGCAUAACACAUUAGGGAAUAUAAACAGAUGAAGAUGAUUGUUGGAAUAGUAGUCCAUGGAACCAUGAGGGCAAUAGUGGUUCAUUGGUAACAAAUCAAUAGAAAUAAUUUCCAUUGGAUGGGAAAGAUGGGUGCAUCACUUCACAAGUCUUCGAGAGGACAGGCAAUAAGGUUAAAACCUCCAUACCUUAUGGUAAAAUCUGUUUUCAAUAUCCUUUUAUUUUGGUUUUAUCUUGUGUAUACACUUAUUUAUAUGGUGAAAACUAGACACUGACUUUUGUAGCUUGAGCAUCUAUGUUUCAUUCUAAUAUAAAGAGAAGUCUACCUCUUAUUUCCUACAUGUACUUUUCAAUUAUUUUCUGUUUCUCUUGAUUAUUUAUUAGCAUGCAUUUCUUCCUCCAUAUUCGAAGUACAAUUUGUUUGUAUGUUAUGUCCUGUGUCCACUAUCUUCUUAGUGUUUACUCGUUGAAAUUUAUCUUUUAAGCAUAUCUUAGUUAUGUAGCCCUUGUUUGGGAUGUUUGGAUAUGGAGGACCUAUUGCAUCUAUGCAUCUAGGAAGGCAUGCGCUUGUUUCUUCGAAGACAAAGAAUUCCAAGAAAGUAUACAUGUUACAUCUUGAGAGAGAAGCCUUACUCAGUAGUUCUGACACUGAACAUACUUGGACGAUAGUUAAGUUGCAUACUAGUUUCUUGAUCUGUCAGAGGGCCAUAUUUUUUAAUGCUUUUAUAUGAUUUCUCUUACAUCUUUGCAAUAGAACCACCCAAUGGUUUUCAAUCUCUUGUAUUAAUGGACAAUUUCAUUUCCAUUUUAGACUGAUGGUGGUAUCAAAAAUCCCUCAGAAGAUGAAAUUAGGGACACACCCCAUGGAGAACUACUCUGUUUCUAUUAUUUUUACUUUUGGCAUGGUCAAGUCUUUUCAAUCCUUGAUAUUGCAAUGUGCAGCUUAGAAGGAACUAAUUUUUAGUCAUUUUACUUCAUCAAUUAAUUCUUCAAAUCAUAAAGGUCAGUUCGUAGAAUUGGAUGCUUAGAAAACUGUCUUAUUCCAUGGCGGGCGGGGCAACAUCUGUUGUUUAUAUAUUGAUGGUGGAUUCACCAAGAAAAUGAAAAUAGUUUUUAGCAAUUUUAUAGUUGUUGGUAGAGGAAUGUUCUGUUGGCGGCAGAGAAUUUUUGGUUCUUGUCAGAGCUUUAUAUACAGCAAGUGGAAAAAAUCAUCUUGUAAUAUUCUUUAGUUUUUAUUCAUAAAAUACUUGUACAUUUUUCUCUUACUAAUUCAGAUUUAGUUUUUAGUUUUCUA